Molecule: ribosomal RNA, 491 nt
Filed under: uncultured bacterium
Lineage: Bacteria
Description: partial 16S ribosomal RNA
Rfam family: Bacterial small subunit ribosomal RNA
Source: RNAcentral
AGUGAACGCUGGCGGUAGGCCUAACACAUGCAAGUCGAACGGCAGCACAGUAAGAGCUUGCUCUUACGGGUGGCGAGUGGCGGACGGGUGAGGAAUACAUCGGAAUCUACUUUUUCGUGGGGGAUAACGUAGGGAAACUUACGCUAAUACCGCAUACGACCUACGGGUGAAAGCAGGGGAUCUUCGGACCUUGCGCGAUUGAAUGAGCCGAUGUCGGAUUAGCUAGUUGGCGGGGUAAAGGCCCACCAAGGCGACGAUCCGUAGCUGGUCUGAGAGGAUGUUCAGCCACACUGGACCUGAACCACGUUCCAGCCUCUGAGGGGAGGCAGCAGUGGGAAUUUUUGGCCAAUGGGCGCAAGCCUGAUCCAGCCAUCCCGCGUGGGUGAAGAAGGCCUUCGGGUUGUAAAGCCCUUUUGUGGGGAAAGAAAAGCAGCAGGUUAAUCCCCCGCUGUUCUGCCGUUACCCAAAGAAUAGCACCGGCUAACUUCGUG